AGGUUUGAUCCAUGGCCUGGGAACUUCUGCAUGCUGUGUGUGUGGCAAUAAAUAGAUAGGUAUAUAGAUAGAUAAACAGACAGACAGAUAGAUAAAUAAAUAACAAUAGGAAUUUCCCGGUAUUAUCCACAAGAUUAAUUUAACAGUACACUUCAUUUCUGGGUAUCUUAAAAAAAGCACCAUACAUCUGUUCCCUAGAGUACUGUUUUAUAAAUUCAUUUUGGCUGAAUGUGGCCUGGAGGUAAAACUCCACCUUGUUCAUGACUUAUUUCCCUGGAACUCCAUAUGCCAUGAGGUGGCAAAAGAAAGAAAGAAAGAAAGAAAGAAAGAAAGAAAGAAAGAAAGAAAGAAAAGAAAGAAAGGAAGAAAGAAAGAAAGAAAGAGGAAGGAAGGAAGGAAAGGAUGGAAGGAAGGAAGGAAGGAAGGAAGGAAAAGAAAGAAAGAAAGAAGAAUGGAAAUAUUCAGGGAUGAAGAGAUGAAUGAAACUUCCUGAGAUCACUGUUACUGUGUCUUGAAUUGGAACUGGCAUGCUGGGAUUGCGAGUGUAGAAAUGCAUGCUAAAGCCCCUCAGAAAACACACACUAGCACUCACACCCUCUUCUCACAGAUCAUGGGUAGGUAUGGGUAUUCUCCACGUUGGGUGGAAUAUACAAAUAAUAAAAAAUACUGUCGAAGCAAUCUGAAUAAGUACCUGAACAACUAACAUGCUUAUACAAUGUGUUCCUUUACAAAAAAUUCAAUAGAAAACUAAUAAAGAAAUGCAAUGUUUCUAAGUAAUCAGAAUAAAAGCAAAAUGGCUUUAAAAAUUGGGUGCUGGAAAUGGCUUUUGACCAAAUGGAUGAAAAUAUCUCUGUGGAGAGAACAGUCUGGCUGGUUCUCAUGAGGGGGAUAGAAUCUAAUUCUAAAGCAUUCUGUGGGAUCCUGUGAAGAGUUAGAAUUAUCAACACUCUCAAAUUUACCUGGAAGGUGUGAUCCACCCUCCUGAGCUCAUAGGAAGAGAGCAGGGUGGUUGGCGCUACCCUUGACAAUUUCAUAUCUGAGCAAUGACAUUCUAGAAUGGAACAGGUUUAAUCCUGGCAUUGUGAUUACAAUAAUUAUAUGUAAUAAGACUUUUCAGGUUGCUGUAUUAUUCCCCUUUGCUGUGAGACAUCAUCCCAUCUCUGCCUUGACUGGGUUAAGCUCUGGGUUUUUGACAACCAAGUUAAAAUUCUGGAAUUCUACAAACACCAGUGUUUACCAAAUUAAGAGUUUACGGUCUAAAGUUAAAUGCAUGGGUUUCAAAUUUUAUUUUUCCAUCAAUCAACAAAAGUUGUCUUUCAAAUAUCUCUUUCUAUUAAAAAGUAAACCCUUUAUUUUAUUUAUUUAUUUAUUUAUUUUUGUUUUUCAGGGCUGCAUCUGCAGCAUAUGGAAAUUCCCAGGCUAGGAGUCAAAUCAGAGCUACAGCUGCUGGCCUAGGCCACAGCAACAUGGGAUCCGAGCCGCAUCUGUUUCCUCAUACCAAGCUCUUGGCAAUGGUGGAUCCUUAACCCACUGAGCAAGGCCAGGGAUUGAAUCUAUAUCCCCAUGGAUACUAGUCAGGUCUGUAACCUGCUGAGCCACAACAGGAACUCCUAAAAGUGUGAUUUUCAAAAUUUUAUAAUAUACCCUUUUUCACCCAUCUGAGAAAUGGCAAUCACACAGGCUGUUUUUAAUCCAAGAACACACCCAGCUAGUUCUCAGUGAGAUUUAAUGUUCUUGUGCCUUCUAUGACAGUUUCCUUCUAAUGUUUUGUUGAUACUACUUAUGAUUCACUUAUUAGAGAAAGAACUAAUUUCUAAGCUUUUCUUAUAAAUAAUUGGAGACGACGUAGAAAUUAAAUAUAAAAUAACACAGGGUAACUCAGAAGAACAAUAUCAUAUAAUUUAAAAUACAGAAAACCAAUCUAAUUAACGCAAUUGAGUGCCAAAUUUGACUCUGAGACAUCUAGCAAAAAAAUAAAAUAAAAAAGAAAAUUAAGAAAACUAUGACCUUUGACUAUGAGGCUCAGAAAAUGAAAAGCAAACCAACUGGCUGAAAAAUGGGAUUAAUAUUAUAAUACAUAACACCAAAAAUAUCAAGUAUGAUAAAGGCAUUCAGAGGCUGACUUGUCUAUUCUUGUGGGGGUAUGUAAUUCACAAUAAUCUCUAGAAUAAGCCAUUAAGCUUUAUUUUACAAAUCAAAUAUAAAGAGAACUGAACUGGAAAAGUCAUAAUUUUGUCAACCAAGCAUAAUUCAGGGCACUUGGGAGGCUUCAGAAUGGUGUGUGCCAUUACAGCAGAUAUUUUCAAAGGAUUUUAGAACCUCUUUUAUCAACAUAAUAUGGUAAAGUAUGUAAUCAUCUUUAUCAGGACUCUGCAGCAGCUCCCAUGCUCAUGGCAAACCCCCAAAUCACUACAAGUUGGCUUUUUCCCAAUUGCCAGGGCUUUCAGCAAUCACCCCUCUGUACACAAGGCAGCUGGCUCACUACAUGGUAGCCUAAGGAAAACAAUUCCGGCCUCUGCAAUCCCUGGGUUUCCAAUUCUAAGGCACUGUGAUUUCAGAGACCAAAUUCUUUCAUAACUUGCACAUGCCUCUUUGAUCUUGCAAUGGCGCAAUGUUAUAAUUAAUCCAGUGAGGAAUAGAUUCUUAUCCGACUUGGCGCGGGGGGCAGGGGCAUGUUGGGUGAAAAUCAGAGAAAGCACAAAUAUCUAACACCACAGUAAGUCUUUUGUGCUACCUUUCAUUUGUUUGCCUGUACUGUUGUUUUGUUUUGUUUUGUAAUUCUGCAAAUCUUUUACCAACAUGGAAAUCAUAUUCCUUGCAUUCUGUAGAGCCUCUUCCUUUAGGCCUAUUAAAUUUUAUUCUUCUGAUUUCUUCCCUAAAUAUAGGAUAUGGUAUGGCUCAAGCAAAACCCUGCAAAGGAAUCUUCAGUCACUUUUUCCAUGGACUGAGGAGGGGAAGAAAAUAUUAUGGUAUUUCAACUGUACAUACAACUGUGAGAUUAAAUUUCUAGGCAAUAUCAUGGAUGGUAUUCAUAAAUAAAAUUUCCCCUGAAUUUAUUUAGAGUGUAAAGUAUAUUAUAUAGUAUCAAAAUAGAAUUUAAACAUACUAAACUACUUUUCUCCUACCCAGACUCAGAAUCUUCCUUUUACAAAGCUAUGAAGAAGAAAAUAUGAUUGCAAUCAAUAUCUGUUCAGGCGAUAUGAGGUCAUUAUCACUGAUGCGUAUCAAUGGUUAAAAAAAAAAAAAAACUUUCAAGAAUGACAUAAUGAACGAUUACCUCCAGUUCAAUUAUCUUGGCUUCUAAACCUCUAGCUACAAUUUCUGUCUGUGAAUGAGAGACCUCACUGGGUCAAAUGGAGACCUGCUAACACAUUCUGUAAAAUUCCACAUCCAUUAGAGUGAAGUGGAAGUUAGACAAUUCUAGAAAGAAGAUAAAGGUGACUCCUUGACUAAUGGGACAAGUUGAAAUAAAGGAGACUUUAUUGUUUCAAGAACUGAUUUUUUACAUUUAAUUGCAUUGGGAUUUUGAUGUCUAGCAUGCAAAAACCAGUAGUUUGACCUUGUUUCUUUUCCUUACUGGUAUUUUUAGCAAAUAUUUUUAUUGAGUGGAAAUGACUACGAUAGUAUGAAAAUUUUAAUCAUACUACAAUCAUUUACCUUGUACUGUCUCUGUAUAAAGAACUCUGAAUAAGCAGAUUCUUGCAUUUCAUGUGAUCCUGUUGUGUUUAUAAUUAUGAAAUAAUUUAAUAGGUAAAAGAAAUUAAAUCAAACUUUUCAAUAGCUAAAAAUAUCAUUAUAAAAUCUGAUACAAAGAUUUUGGAAACAUCACCUUUUGAAACGAGCACAUUUCAAUACCUUUCUGCUUUUUAGACCCCUUUCAAGGUCAUGAGAAAAACAAAUAUUUAAAUAUGACUGUGGGAUUGAAGAAGAUCACUGAGACUAGGAAGGCUAGAUUGUAUUUUCUUCACUCAUGAGGAGUCGAAAGCCUAAGAAAAUUUUUUUAAAAAAUUGAGCAGAGACACAGAGUCAGCAAGUGAACUAAAUAAAUGUAAAACUAAAGGAAGAAAGAAGAUAAAUCACCUAUAUUUUUUGUCUUCUUUUAAUGGAAGGACGUUUUCACUGUGAUCUAGGUUUGAAUCAAUUAUACAAAGACCCAUAUCUACUAUGAAUUGUCAAACAUUUUCAAAUUAAACAAUUAAAAGUAAUAUUGAAUCCAUUGACUUCAAUUAUGUGAGAUAUUUUUGAAUUACAAAAGGAUGAAGCUAAACUCUGAAAUUUAUCUCCCAUUUGCAGUG
This 4295-nucleotide long non-coding RNA is filed under the name Sus scrofa (pig). RNAcentral's name for it is "lncRNA (ENSSSCG00035033620.1)". The record is from RNAcentral. Lineage: Eukaryota; Metazoa; Chordata; Mammalia; Artiodactyla; Suidae.